RNAcentral lists this ribosomal RNA (614 nucleotides) under uncultured bacterium. RNAcentral describes it as "bacterial SSU rRNA". The stretch from base 1 to 525 matches the Rfam family "Bacterial small subunit ribosomal RNA", at positions 338 to 873 of the family's 1533-position model. The record is from RNAcentral.
CCUACGGGAGGCAGCAGUGGGGAAUCUUGCGCAAUGGGCGAAAGCCUGACGCAGCCAUGCCGCGUGAAUGAUGAAGGUCUUAGGAUUGUAAAAUUCUUUCACCGGGGACGAUAACGACGGUACCCGGAGAAGAAGCCCCGGCUAACUUCGUGCCAGCAGCCGCGGUAAUACGAAGGGGGCUAGCGUUGCUCGGAAUUACUGGGCGUAAAGGGAGCGUAGGCGGAUAGUUUAGUCAGAGGUGAAAGCCCAGGGCUCAACCUUGGAAUUGCCUUUGAUACUGGCUAUCUUGAGUGUGGGAGAGGUAUGUGGAACUCCGAGUGUAGAGGUGAAAUUCGUAGAUAUUCGGAAGAACACCAGUGGCGAAGGCGACAUACUGGCCCAUUACUGACGCUGAGGCUCGAAAGCGUGGGGAGCAAACAGGAUUAGAUACCCUGGUAGUCCACGCUGUAAACGAUGAGUGCUAGUUGUCGGUCGAUGCAUGCAUGUCGGUGGUACGCGAACUAACGACAUUAAGUACACUCCGCCGUCGGGAGGUACGGUCGCGAGAAUUAAACUAACAAUAGAAGUUAGACGGCGUGAGACGUCGCCGACGGACGACGACGAGGGAGGUUAGG